RNAcentral lists this unclassified non-coding RNA (337 nucleotides) under soil metagenome. RNAcentral's name for it is "partial contains 5.8S ribosomal RNA, internal transcribed spacer 2, and large subunit ribosomal RNA". The stretch from base 1 to 120 matches the Rfam family "5.8S ribosomal RNA", at positions 35 to 154 of the family's 154-position model. The record is from RNAcentral.
GAUGAAGAACGCAGCGAAAUGCGAUAAGUAAUGUGAAUUGCAGAAUUCAGUGAAUCAUCGAAUCUUUGAACGCACAUUGCGCCCCUUGGUAUUCCGGGGGGCAUGCCUGUUCGAGCGUAAUUUCAACCCUCAAGCUCUGCUUGGUAUUGGGCACCGUCCUUUGCGGGCGCGCCUCAAAGACCUCGGCGGUGGCGUCUUGCCUCAAGCGUAGUAGAAUACACCUCGCUUCGGAGCGUAAGGCGUCGCCCGCCGGACGAACCUUCUGAACUUUUCUCAAGGUUGACCUCGGAUCAGGUAGGGAUACCCGCUGAACUUAAGCAUAUCAAUAAGCGGAGGA